RNAcentral lists this ribosomal RNA (650 nucleotides) under uncultured archaeon. Its description in RNAcentral is "partial 16S ribosomal RNA". The record is from RNAcentral.
UUUCCGGUUGAUCCCGCCGGAUCACGAUCGCAUUCCAGCUUUUCGCCGGUCCGAAGGAAUAUGACACCCUGCAGAGCUUGGGAAUUGGAUUGGAGGAUACGAUCGACUUCGGCUGGUUCUUGUUUGGAAGCUGGGACACGGUCAGGGCGGUAGCCAAACCGAUAUUUUCCGUGCUCCGCUCGAUCAACGACUAUACGCACAAUUACGGUGUCACGAUCAUCAUCUUGACCGUGGGUAUCAAGCUGCUGUUCGUCCCCUUGCAGUACAAGAGCUACAAGUCGAUGAAACAGAUGCAGGAAAUACAGCCGAAAGUAUUGGCACUUCAGGAGAAGUUCAAAGACGAUCGCGAACGCCUGAAUAAGGAACUCAUUAAAGUCUAUCGGGAUAACAAAGUGAAUCCGGUGGGGGGCUGUCUGCCGAUGGUGUUGCAGAUGCCGGUGUUCGUGGCACUGUUCAAUAUCCUCUAUAUGACGAUCGAUUUGCGCCAGGCGCCGCUGGGACUCUGGAUCACCGAUCUAUCCGUCCAGGACCCCUAUUACAUUCUGCCGGUCAUCAUGGGGGUCAGCAUGCUGAUCAUGCAGAAGAUUCAGCCCACCACCAUGGACCCGGCCCAAGCGAAAAUCAUGCUGCUGCUUCCGGCGUUGAUGACG